CAAUGGUGCGAAGCUACCAUCUGUUGGAUUAUGACUUAACGCCUCUAAGUCAGAAUCCGUGCUAGAACGCAACGAUAUUUACCUCCGGAGAAUCUUAGGCGAACAAGGAUAGAGAACGGGCUUGCCCGCUCUCCUGCGUCCCAAUGUGCCAAGAGGGACAACAACCCUCAAGGCACUAAACUAUAUCAAAGUUUAAAAUUUCUGGAGAUAAAUCCUUUGCAGACGACUUAAAUAAAGAACGGGGUAUUGUACGUUGUAGAGUAGCCUUGUUGCUACGAUCUUCUGAGAUUAAGCCUUUGUUCUACGAUUUGU
RNAcentral lists this non-coding RNA (312 nucleotides) under Nematostella vectensis (starlet sea anemone). Its description in RNAcentral is "Eukaryotic large subunit ribosomal RNA". It matches the Rfam family "Eukaryotic large subunit ribosomal RNA", at positions 3086 to 3401 of the family's 3401-position model. The record is from Rfam by way of RNAcentral. Lineage: Eukaryota; Metazoa; Cnidaria; Anthozoa; Actiniaria; Edwardsiidae.